GGCUUCCUACGGGAGGCAGCAGUGGGGAAUAUUGGACAAUGGGCGCAAGCCUGAUCCAGCCAUGCCGCGUGUGUGAAGAAGGCCUUCGGGUUGUAAAGCACUUUUGUUCGGGAAGAAAAGCUACCGGUUAAUACCCGGGAGUCAUGACGGUACCGAAAGAAUAAGCACCGGCUAACUUCGUGCCAGCAGCCGCGGUAAUACGAAGGGUGCAAGCGUUACUCGGAAUUACUGGGCGUAAAGCGUGCGUAGGUGGUGCGUUAAGUCUGUCGUGAAAGCCCCGGGCUCAACCUGGGAAUGGCGAUGGAUACUGGCGCGCUAGAGUGCGGUAGAGGAGAGUGGAAUUCCCGGUGUAGCAGUGAAAUGCGUAGAGAUCGGGAGGAACAUCAGUUGCGAAGGCGGCUCUCUGGACCAACACUGACACUGAGGCACGAAAGCGUGGGGAGCAAACAGGAUUAGAUACCCUGGUAGUCCACGCCCUAAACGAUGCGAACUGGACGUUGGGAGCAACUAGGCUCUCAGUGUCGAAGCUAACGCGUUAAGUUCGCCGCCUGGGGAGUACGGUCGCAAGACUGAA
Molecule: ribosomal RNA, 574 nt
Filed under: uncultured bacterium
Lineage: Bacteria
Description: bacterial SSU rRNA
Rfam family: Bacterial small subunit ribosomal RNA
Source: RNAcentral